CUUGAAAUUGAAGUUAAAAUUUUGAAUGCAGGUGUCAAACAAAUUGGAGGAGACAUGUUUGAGAGCAUUCCUGAAGGAGAUGCCAUUUUCAUGAAAGUAAGUUGAAAAAUUCCAUAUAUUGCUGACUAAAUUGGUGUUUGAGGAUGAUAUAAUGAUAUAAUGUUGUUUCUGUAAGUAUAAUAGCAUUACAUGCCCGUGUCCGAAAAUUAUCGUGUCAUGUCGGACCAUGACUCUCCAAAAUCCAACAAGCCAUGUGUCGCGCCACAUUUUUCUAUUUUUAAAAUUUUUGCCGGUGCAUCUUAGGAUUUCAAGUAUUCAUCUCUCCAAAUACUUAUCUUACUGUUUAGGUCAAAAUAAAAGCUAGAAUAUUUGUGAAGAAGAAAACAAUCCAAACUAUAUGUAGAUUUUUUUUCUCAUAAUUUUUAUUGACAAUAUGAUGCGCAGAUUGUUUAUUAGUCUUGAAGAUAUUUUUAUCUAAAUUAGGUAACCAUUCUUGACAGUGGAUACUUCAUGAUUGGAGUGAUGACCACUGUUUGAAGUUGCUUAUGAACUGCUAUAAAGCUAUACCUGAAGAUGGAAAGGUGAUUGUUGUUGAGAAAAUUCUCUCAGUCGAACCUGACACUAGUAACACCGUGAUUAGUAAGAGCCAAUCCGAUCUAAUUUUGAUGACUCAAUAUCCAGGGGGGGCAAAGAGCGAUCAGAAGUCGAGUUUCUUGCAUUGGCAAAGGGAGCUGGCUUUAGAGGCAUAAGGUCAAACUGUUCCGUGUGCAACUUUUGGGUCAUGGAAUUCCAUAAGUAAACUGCUGGAGUAGAAUGUGGCGUGUGUUUCCUGUUCAAGAACUUCAAUUUUCAUCUUGUUAUACCGGUUUAAGUACUUUGCAGCUGUGGAUUUAAAUAACAUAUUUCAAGUUUGUUGUAAUGAAACAUAACAAACUUUCAAGGUUGUUAUGU
Molecule: long non-coding RNA, 951 nt
Filed under: Olea europaea subsp. europaea
Lineage: Eukaryota; Viridiplantae; Streptophyta; Magnoliopsida; Lamiales; Oleaceae
Source: RNAcentral